GAGCCCCCAUCAUCUGGCUCCAUGUGGAUGAAGACCUGCAUUUAUUGCCUUUACAGUCAUGUGCUCCCUGGACAGUGAGAUGAGUGCUCCACCAAGAGACAGAGUCAGCGCAGGCAGGUAAGCACAGGGACCUCCCUGGACCAGUGCUAGGGCCGUAGAAGGACCACAGAGGGAGGACAUGUUGCACAUUGGGCACUGAGCUGGAUGUUGGCAGUGCAUGGUCUCAUUUCACCUCACUCCAUUCUCCAUCUGCCCCAAAGCCCAGCUCCCGACUAUAUGACUUGGCUGCUGGGCAGUGCUUGUCAUGGGGAGAGGGGGAGGCAUUUCUGGGGGCCUGACAUGGUGGGCAUCUCCCUACUCAGGUGCAACUUGGCCCUUGAACGGUGGAUUCCCGAUGGCAGGAUCUUGGACUUUUCUACUUUCUCUGGAGAGCAAGACAGGGAGAGCCAGCUUAACCAUGGCCUGGAGAGGUGAUCUGCCAGGAAGAAAGGGGGAGAGGCUGCCUAAGGAUGAAGAGGGGCACACGCAUAUUCCCAAGAACAAACGUGAGAACUGUACAGCACCUGAACCGAGCACUCAGUGUCUGAAGCCAGAGGGGAAGAGUUUUGUACCUCCGAAGUGGGUGUUCCUGGUUCGCCCUGAGGCUCCUGAGUGA
RNAcentral lists this long non-coding RNA (655 nucleotides) under Canis lupus familiaris (dog). Its description in RNAcentral is "lncRNA (ENSCAFG00030023156.1)". Lineage: Eukaryota; Metazoa; Chordata; Mammalia; Carnivora; Canidae. The record is from RNAcentral.